This 405-nucleotide ribosomal RNA is filed under the name bacterium. RNAcentral describes it as "partial 16S ribosomal RNA". It matches the Rfam family "Bacterial small subunit ribosomal RNA", at positions 355 to 776 of the family's 1533-position model. The record is from RNAcentral. RNAcentral also lists the same sequence under 2 other names.
UCGGGAAUUUUGCCCAAUGGACGAAAGUCUGAGGCAGCAACUCCGCGUGAGGGAUGAAGGCUCUCGGGUCGUAAACCUCUUUUCUCAGGGAAGAUCCAAGACGGUACCUGAGGAAUAAGCGACGGCUAACUACGUGCCAGCAGCCGCGGUAAUACGUAGGUCGCAAGCGUUGUCCGGAUUUACUGGGCGUAAAGAGCGCGCAGGCGGCUGGUCAAGUCCGAUGUGAAAUCUCCCGGCUCAACUGGGAAACUGCAUCGGAAACUGAUCGGCUUGAAGGUGGGAGAGGGUAGUGGAAUUCCCGGUGUAGUGGUGAAAUGCGUAGAUAUCGGGAGGAACACCAGUGGCGAAGGCGACUACCUGGCCCAUUCUUGACGCUGAGGCGCGAAAGCUAGGGGAGCGAACGGG